Meleagris gallopavo (turkey) is the source of this 3644-nucleotide non-coding RNA. Lineage: Eukaryota; Metazoa; Chordata; Aves; Galliformes; Phasianidae. The record is from RefSeq and is a predicted model, not a curated record.
UUGGGCACCUCCAGAGAUGGAGCACCCACACUCUUUGGGCAGCAGUUGGAAAGAAUUCUCAGAGGUGCAGUGGGAUUUCUGCCUUUACAUGCAGGUAGGUGCCAGCCUGUGAGAGGCCCAGGGCUGAAGGUUGUAGAAGCACUGCCCACCAGUCCCUGCUGUCUCCACCACAUGUGGAGCAGCUAUGAGACCCCAAAGGAGCUAUCCUUAGGUAGCAGCCCAAAUGUUGCUGAUUUGUGGAAAUGAGCCUGGGCUGCCAACCUGGUUCUUCCUAGGAGCCCCAAAAAACUUUAAACAUUAAAAAAUAAAGUUUGCACUUGACAAAAAGCAAAUGUUUAAUCUGACACAUCUCAUUAUUCUGACGAAUUUGCAGGAAAAAACAAACUUUGUUAGUCUGUCACAAAGAACUAACAGUUUCUGGAAGUCAAUAAAGCUUGCCUUGGAAGGACACACUUAGCACAGACUUCCGAUUUCCUAGCUAAGUUAUGAAGACGUGAUGCAGGUAGACAGCAGCCAAGACCUCAGUGCAGAAGACACAGAGCCUUCCCCAGACCAGGAUGGCUGGAGUUGAAAGAAUCUCACACUGACAGCAGCUGCCAAAAUCAAACCCUUUUUCAAUGUUUUUUUGAUGUGAAUCACAGGAGGUUUCACUACCGGGAUUUGCAUCCAAAUAGGAACCCUGCAGAUUUCUUCAAAUCCUGGUGACAAACGUAUGACAUUUAUGACUUGCGACUGUUAUCCCACAUGUGUGAAUUGCCAAAACAAAGCUUUCAAAAAAUGGCAACUUUUUUGUUUGUGACUUGAUGCAUUUUGUAAACAAGAAAGUGCCAACAUUGACACAACGUGGUCUGCUCCAUCUCCAGGUACCGGCAAUGCCCUGAGCUGACUGCUGCAGUGGUGUUAAUGAUGCUCUUUCAAUAGCUGAGUGCUGAUACUCCAUGAUUUUGGCUCUGACAACAGGUACCUGUCAGGCAAUUACUCUUCAUGGAUAAGACAGAAACGUCUGGAUGUACAAUGGUUUCUGCAUUAACAAAGUUGCUAUGAUGUAGUCCGCUUUUUGCAUCUACUAACCUGCAGUGACCAGAAGCCAUUAUUUUCAUCGGACACAAUGGCAACCGGAAACAUUACCCUCACAAUGCUGAAGAAUGUAAAUGCAUUAUAUCAUGACCUCCAAGGAUGUGAACAUGCCUAGAGCUGCCUGCGAAAUAUGUUGUGACACCCAACAUGGCAACACAGGAAGUCCCUGCCUGCCUCUGCUGUCCCUGAUGCUGGAGGAGGAUAAGCUUUGCUGGACUCCAGACACUGCAGUGUGACAGCUAAACCAAGGAGCAUCGGAUGCAAUGGAAUUGCUCUACAAGCAACCUUGCCAAAGGCCCUUUUGCUGCACAAAGCUGGCUCUAUCUUUGUAUAUUGAGGGAACUAAAUCAAUGUUAAAUGCUUGGCUCUUUUCACAGGACAAUGACCAGGACCUAAGCUGCGUCCUUCCUAUUUGAUUGACACUUGAAACGUUGAGUUGGAAUCAGCCAGAGGCACUGCUACAAGCUUGAAGCCUCUGCUGGGGAUAACAACUGGUGACAUCUGCAGAAAGGCCGACAAAAGGCAGUUGAAAGCCGUGUUUGUUGCUUUCCCCUCUCAGAUCUCCUCUCUUUCAUGGAGCUCCUUACUUGCUUUAAUAUUAUGAUUCAGCACCUGGCUCUUUUGAACCUUGCUUUAAACUUCAAAAGGCGAGGUGGUAUUAACAAACAUGAAACGAAAAAGUGGCAGUAGUUUGAUUUACUGUUGUCGUCUUAUCAAGGGGGUUUUUUGUCACCAGCUGCCACUUUCUGUCAUCUUUGGAACCAUUAUCAUUUCUCUAAAAUCUAAAAGACUCCACUUAAUAACAGCUUUGAAUACAGGCAGGAUCAGUAACGUAUACAGUUCUGGGAUGACAGGGCCAUGAAAUGAAAAGAAAGAUGUUGACAAAAAAAAAAAAAAAAAAAAAUCCUUAAAAAAAAACAAUAAAACAAAUAAAAGCCAUAGUACUUCUAAGUGACCUUGAUUUCAGAAUUAAACAAAUCAAAUCAAGCACAAUUCCAUUGUUCUUUUUGGAUUAAUUCUGCACUUUCUUUGCAAUGUUUCUUUUUUGUUCUCAGGACUAAGAGAAAACAAAGCCAAGGCUUUCAGAAAACUGCUCGGCACACAACAAGCACUCGGUAUCACAUGAGUGCCGUAAGCUUCUUGCUGUAAGAUUGCCAGCGAUAAUUACUGGUCUUGUUUCCCCACCAUCCCAGCACAGCAACUCGCAUUCAGGCUGAGCUGCCUUGCUAGUCAAAAAUAUGCUCAGCUCCCCUCUUAUAGUGCUGCUCCAUGCUUUCCUGCAGUUCUUCCCAACGUGGUUGUGCUGGUCUUUGGCUGCCAAGGCAGAACCAAAAAUGUUCCUGUGCCUGGUCAAGUUUGCCCGUUGCGGCUGCUCACAUUAAGUCACAGGCAGUCAAAUAAACACAAUUUUCUAAAGUGUAAACCUACUGCACUUUCACACUUGUCACCUCAUCAUUCCUUACAGGAAACUUACUCUGAUCCCUCUGAUCCCUUUGUUUUAUAAUGGUAUGCACAGAAAUUUUUCCAAGUGCCUUCUAAAGUCAUGGAUAAAUGAUGGACAACACAUUGCAAGCAAUGACUUUUAAUUUGUACAUAUUGGAACCUGCAUUUCUGUGCAUCUUAAUAGUUACUUCCAUUUGUGCAAAAAGAGUGAAACCAAUUGAAAAACCCAAAGGAUCCCCUUCACUCUCUUCAUUGAUGUGUCCUCCCUCUCCUUAGUUAUGUGUAACUCCAGGCAAUGGGAUCCAACACUUAUUCUCCCAUUGGCCUCUUCCAGACCUGUUCAACCACAGGAAUCUGGGGGAGAUUUGUGCCAGAAUGUCUUCUUAAAACAGGGAUGGAAACUACAAAAUGAGAAUGUUCAUAAAAGUGAAAGUGCUGACGUCUUGACCAGUGAAAAUAUAGGAUUUCAAGACUACAAAGUUGGUUGACUUUUUAUGGAUUAGGACACAACAUAACUCAUGAAAUUGAGAUGGAGAUUGCUAAAAAUACCUAUUAUCCUCUGACAGAAGCACUUACUGUGUAAUGACAAUGAGACUUUUUCACAGAGCAUGUCCACAUUUGAAAUUCUAGUCUUUUUAACAAGUGUUAAUUACUGCAUGCUAACCAGCAGAAGCGUGUGGGGGAGAUGUUUUAUAUUUACUUGUUCCAGACUGGGAACAUAUUAGAAAGUAGGCUCCAUUCCAGAUUAAUGUGGUAUGAAUGAAUGUGUUACCCAACUACAAAUGAAAAAUAUUGCAAGAAGAAAUAAAGAUUUUUCCCUGGCAUAUUUCUUUGAAGAGGAGACCAAGAAUAUGUUUCGAGCAUUAGGUCAAGUGGAAAUCUGAGCCUGACCCUAUUAAAAGUGUGUGUGGCAUACAGAUACCAUAGCAAUGUAUCUGUGGGAGGUACAUUUUGGUUUACCCAUGAAAAAUGAGGUAUUCUGAAAGAACAUAAAUGGGAAAGAGUGGGUACAGUUGUACCAGUCUCCCUGCGUGCUUUACGAUGAUGCUGGAGAAGAGCUACAUAUACAUAUAUAUAUAUAUGGAUAUAUUUAUAAAUAAUUUAUGUGUAAUUCACUUGUUAUA